Molecule: non-coding RNA, 110 nt
Organism: Acanthosepion pharaonis
Lineage: Eukaryota; Metazoa; Mollusca; Cephalopoda; Sepiida; Sepiidae
Source: the annotation of a GenBank genome assembly
GGCUACAUCACAUUGAAAUACAAGUUCCCGUACGAUCGCCAGAGUUAAGCAACGUUUAGCCUGGUUAGUACCUUGAUGGGUGACCGCUUGGGAAUACAAGGUGCUGUAAG